GAGAGAGAGAGAGAGAGAGAGAGAGAGAGAAGGAGAAUCAUGUACUUUAACAAGUACACUCAUAUCUUCUGAAUUAGAAGGAUACUUGAAAACUAAGAUCAAAUUAAAAGAAAUCGACGAUAAAAUAUUCCACACAAGUCGUCGAAGAUUUUAACGUUCUAGGGAUAAUAUCUGGCAAACAUUGAAUAUUUUCCCUGAGGCUAUGCCAAGUUUCGAUUGAAAUGCAACCUUUACAUUGAUUUAUGCAUCCAUGGUAAAAAAGUGUGAAUCAUGGUAAGUCAUUGUGGUUAAGAUUUUUGCCAUGAUACGGCGCUGUACGUGCAAAAUCCAUUCAUAUCGACAAUGUAUCAUUGGA
Long non-coding RNA from Vespa velutina, 355 nucleotides. RefSeq lists it as uncharacterized. Lineage: Eukaryota; Metazoa; Arthropoda; Insecta; Hymenoptera; Vespidae. The record is from RefSeq and is a predicted model, not a curated record. The transcript has 3 exons.